AGUGCGCAAAUGAGGAAAUUCUUUUAGUAAAUGGUAAUGUGCAUCUGAAUACUUCAUUCAUGUUAACACCUUGGAGAGCUGGUGCCCAGA
Small nucleolar RNA from Papaver somniferum (opium poppy), 90 nucleotides. Lineage: Eukaryota; Viridiplantae; Streptophyta; Magnoliopsida; Ranunculales; Papaveraceae. The record is from RefSeq and is a predicted model, not a curated record.